RNAcentral lists this ribosomal RNA (694 nucleotides) under uncultured bacterium. Its description in RNAcentral is "bacterial SSU rRNA". It matches the Rfam family "Bacterial small subunit ribosomal RNA", at positions 140 to 851 of the family's 1533-position model. The record is from RNAcentral.
GGGAUAACACUUAGAAAUAGGUGCUAAUACCGCAUAAGCGCACGGUUCCGCAUGGAACAGUGUGAAAAACUCCGGUGGUAUACGAUGGAUCCGCGUCUGAUUAGCCAGUUGGCGGGGUAACGGCCCACCAAAGCGACGAUCAGUAGCCGGCCUGAGAGGGUGAACGGCCACAUUGGGACUGAGACACGGCCCAAACUCCUACGGGAGGCAGCAGUGGGGAAUAUUGCACAAUGGGGGAAACCCUGAUGCAGCGACGCCGCGUGAGUGAAGAAGUAUCUCGGUACGUAAAGCUCUAUCAGCAGGGAAGAAAAUGACGGUACCUGAUUAAGAAGCCCCGGCUAACUACGUGCCAGCAGCCGCGGUAAUACGUAGGGGGCAAGCGUUAUCCGGAUUUACUGGGUGUAAAGGGAGCGUAGACGGCAGCGCAAGUCUGGAGUGAAAUGCCGGGGCCCAACCCCGGAACUGCUUUGGAAACUGUGCAGCUCGAGUGCAGGAGAGGUAAGCGGAAUUCCUAGUGUAGCGGUGAAAUGCGUAGAUAUUAGGAGGAACACCAGUGGCGAAGGCGGCUUACUGGACUGUAACUGACGUUGAGGCUCGAAAGCGUGGGGAGCAAACAGGAUUAGAUACCCUGGUAGUCCACGCCGUAAACGAUGAUUACUAGGUGUCGGGGGGCCAAGGCCCUCCGGUGCCGGCG